This 97-nucleotide transfer RNA is filed under the name Gemmatimonadota bacterium. Its description in RNAcentral is "Gemmatimonadetes bacterium (activated sludge metagenome) tRNA-Sec". It matches the Rfam family "Selenocysteine transfer RNA". Lineage: Bacteria; Pseudomonadati; Gemmatimonadota. The record is from RNAcentral.
GGGGGCGGAUCGGAGCUGGUGUUCCGACUGGUCUUCAAAACCAGCUGGCCCGGUUCGAACCCGGGUUGGUGGGUUCGAUUCCCACACGCUCCCGCCA